Molecule: ribosomal RNA, 274 nt
Filed under: uncultured bacterium
Lineage: Bacteria
Description: partial 16S ribosomal RNA
Rfam family: Bacterial small subunit ribosomal RNA
Source: RNAcentral
AUACGGAGGGUGCAAGCGUUAAUCGGAAUCACUGGGCGUAAAGCGCGCGCAGGCGGCUAUUUAAGUUGGAUGUGAAAGCCUACGGCUCAACCGUAGAACUGCAUCCAAAACUAUUUAGCUAGAGUGUGGGAGAGGAAGAUGGAAUUAGUUGUGUAGGGGUAAAAUCCGUAGAGAUAACUAGGAAUACCAAAAGCGAAGGCAAUCUUCUGGAACACUACUGACGCUGAGGCGCGAAAGCGUGGGGAGCAAACGGGAUUAGAAACCCUAGUAGUCC